This 499-nucleotide ribosomal RNA is filed under the name uncultured bacterium. RNAcentral describes it as "partial 16S ribosomal RNA". It matches the Rfam family "Bacterial small subunit ribosomal RNA", at positions 28 to 507 of the family's 1533-position model. The record is from RNAcentral.
GAUGAACGCUGGCGGCGUGCCUAAUACAUGCAAGUCGAGCGAACAGACGAGAGUGCUUGCACUCUCUGACGUUAGCGGCGGACGGGUGAGUAACACGUGGGUAACCUACCUAUAAGACUGGGAUAACUUCGGGAAACCGGAGCUAAUACCGGAUAAUAUUUAGCUUCGCAUGAAGCAAUAGUGAAAGACGGUUCUGCUGUCACUUAUAGAUGGACCCGCGGUGUAUUAGCUAGUUGGUGAGGUAACGGCUCACCAAGGCAACGAUCCAUAGCCGACCUGAGAGGGUGAUCGGCCACACUGGGACUGAGACACGGCCCAGACUCCUACGGGAGGCAGCAGUAGGGAAUCUUCCGCAAUGGACGAAAGUCUGACGGAGCAAUGCCGCGUGAGUGAAGAAGGUUUUCGGAUCGUAAAACUCUGUUGUAAGGGAGGAACAAGUACGUUAGUAACUGAACGUACCUUGACGGUACCUUACCAGAAAGCCACGGCUAACUACGUG